RNAcentral lists this long non-coding RNA (1037 nucleotides) under Neogobius melanostomus (round goby). RNAcentral describes it as "lncRNA (ENSNMLG00000015250.1)". Lineage: Eukaryota; Metazoa; Chordata; Actinopteri; Gobiiformes; Gobiidae. The record is from RNAcentral.
GAAAAAGAAAGCCUAUGUCUGAGGUGAUUGAACGGAGGAGAGAAAGUCAGAGAAAGCGGAGCGAACAACUAUCUGUGUAGGAGAUUCUUUUGAGCGCUGGCAUGCGCUAAAUAAUCUUAAAACGGAUGCUUUGGUCGCGAAACUUCUGCUGGACAGGUACGUCAUGUUAAUUGUGGAGUAAGUACUGUACUUUGUAUUUAGGAAACAUGUAAAGUUGAAAACAUUUAAAGUUGUACGUGUAUUCUAGCUGUAUUCUGAUGUAUUUUAGCUAUAUGCGGCUAGUUGUACAAGAGACGCACAAGCUUCAGCACUUUUUUUUUUAAUCUGUGGACAUAAUACUUCUAGCCUCUAGUCCUGAGUGCAGCUAAGACCUAUGGUUUGUUGGGAAAAAGCAAUGACCGUGGCACAACUGUUGAUGACGAGCGAUCAUGUCCCUCCAUUGUGUAAACAAUGAGCUCGUCGUAAAACCUCGAGUUGUAGGCUUCUUAAUCUUUCUCAUUCACUUUUCGCAUUUUGGUUCAAGUGCACGGUAGAUCGGUGAUGUUUGGUGAAAUUAUCAGCAUUUAAAUUGCUGUCACUGUUGCGGAAGAACUUUUUCUCCGGUUAGCCUUUUUGUAGCCGCUAAGCUAGUAGUCGCCCCUUUACCAAAAUGGUCUUACCAAGCUCCUGUCUUUCCCUGCUCCAUAUACAACAAACGCAAACGUCCCUCGCUUGUUUACUGCUAUGACAAUAUUAUGUCCACACCAUUAACUCAUGGUCUAUGGGUGAGACCCCAGCCUCCUGUAUCCAGUAUAAUGCAGGAGUCACUCACAGACAGAGAUGCUGAUUUCUCUGUCAAAGGUGUCGAGAAAUUAGGCAGUAGCAGCAGUAAUGAAGAGCUACAUUCUCAGCAGCAAGAGGAUGCUGGUCCCUCCACUUCCAGAAACGAGCAAAUGGAAGACGUUCAUGAACAAGCCUUCAACAGUCUUUUAAAUGCUACACAGACAGAUAUCAGCACUGUUUCGCUGGGCGUGAAAAGCAGUGUGCCACACUACUGA